UUCAACAGAGAAGCUAAAUAUUGUGGAGAAUAGAGAAUUCAUAAAAUAAAAACGAACAGAUCUAUAAUUUUGUUGAACAAAUCAAUGUACCGCAUGAACAACAAUUUGCUCCGGGUUCGAAUCCUGCUGGUGGCGAAUUUUUCUCUAUUUUUACUAAAUACGUCUGUUCAUUACUUAUGUUGAUCUGUUCGUAAAAUAUAUAGAUUUGUUCAUGAUGAAUAAAAAGAUAAUUCUCUGUUGAACUCAACCCUAUAUAUAUAUAUAGGGAGAGGUUCAAGAAAGAACCAUAAAUAAAAAAAGAACGGAGAACCAUUUUCAGCCAUUCGAUCAUCAAGAUCUACGGUGGAUGUAUCAUCUUGUUGGAUGAAUGCAGAUCCUGGGUUCGAAUCCUGAAGGGAGCAAUUUUUUUUAUUUUUUUGAGUGCAUUAAUUUUAACAGCGAAUGUAUUAACUUUUACAGUGAAUGCAUUAGAUUUGAUGGUUCUCACGUUCUCACAAAUAAUGUAGUUCUCUCUAGAACCACACCAUAUAUAUAUAUAU
Molecule: long non-coding RNA, 539 nt
Filed under: Salvia miltiorrhiza (redroot sage)
Lineage: Eukaryota; Viridiplantae; Streptophyta; Magnoliopsida; Lamiales; Lamiaceae
Description: long non-coding RNA (SMIL_LNC010308)
Source: RNAcentral